GGAACUUAGGUUACACCCUAAACCAAGGGCCUUCAAAGCCCUAAACAAGAGCGCACCCACCUCUUAGUUUCUG
Molecule: transfer RNA, 73 nt
Filed under: Saltuarius swaini
Lineage: Eukaryota; Metazoa; Chordata; Lepidosauria; Squamata; Carphodactylidae
Description: tRNA-Trp
Source: RNAcentral